GACGAACGCUGGCGGCGUGCUUAAUACAUGCAAGUCAACUGAACUUAAGAUAGCAAUAUUUUAAGGGAGGUGGCGCACGGGUGAGUAACACGUAGGUAAUCUGCCUUUAGGUCUGACAUAACCUACCGAAAGGUAGGCUAAAAUCAGAUGAUGCAGCGGCUCGACAUCGAGACAGUUGUUAAAUCUUCGGAGCCUAGAGAUGAGCCUGCGUCUGAUUAGGUAGUUGGCGGAGUAAUAGCCCACCAAGCCUGCGAUCAGUAGCUGGUCUGAGAGGAUGAUCAGCCACACUGGAACUGAGACACGGUCCAGACUCCUACGGGAGGCAGCAGUAAGGAAUAUUGCUCAAUGGCCGAAAGGCUGAAGCCGCAACGCCGCGUGGAGGAUGAAAUACUUUUGUAUGUAAACUCCUGUAAGAAGGGAAAAAUAGUCCUGAUUUAUCAGGAUUGAUUGUACCUUCAGAGUAAGCCCCGGCUAACUACGUGCCAG
This 486-nucleotide ribosomal RNA is filed under the name uncultured bacterium. RNAcentral describes it as "bacterial SSU rRNA". It matches the Rfam family "Bacterial small subunit ribosomal RNA", at positions 28 to 511 of the family's 1533-position model. The record is from RNAcentral.